This is a non-coding RNA of Mycena alexandri, 88 nucleotides long. The record is from the annotation of a GenBank genome assembly. Lineage: Eukaryota; Fungi; Basidiomycota; Agaricomycetes; Agaricales; Mycenaceae.
GACCUGGUGGUGCAUGGUGCACACCCAUUCCACUUAAGAAGUUCGGGUCUACAAGUGGGAGGUCCUCGUUCGAACCGAGGUCAGGUCA